This 253-nucleotide ribosomal RNA is filed under the name uncultured bacterium. RNAcentral describes it as "partial 16S ribosomal RNA". It matches the Rfam family "Bacterial small subunit ribosomal RNA", at positions 524 to 776 of the family's 1533-position model. The record is from RNAcentral.
UACAGAGGUCUCAAGCGUUGUUCGGAUUCAUUGGGCGUAAAGGGUGUGUAGGUGGCGCGCUAAGUCGGGUGUGAAAUUUCGGAGCUUAACUCCGAAACUGCAUUCGAUACUGGCGUGCUUGAGGACUGGAGAGGAGACUGGAAUUCAUGGUGUAGCAGUGAAAUGCGUAGAGAUCAUGAGGAAGACCAGUGGCGAAGACGGGUCUCUGGACAGUUCCUGACACUGAGACACGAAGGCCAGGGGAGCAAACGGG